GAUGAAGAACGUAGCGAAAUGCGAUAAGUAGUGUGAAUUGCAGAAUUCAGUGAAUCAUCGAAUCUUUGAACGCACAUUGCGCCCCUUGGUAUUCCAUGGGGCAUGCCUGUUCGAGCGUCAUUUGUACCUUCAAGCUCUGCUUGGUGUUGGGUGUUUGUCUCGCCUCUGCGUGUAGACUCGCCUUAAAACAAUUGGCAGCCGGCGUAUUGAUUUCGGAGCGCAGUACAUCUCGCGCUUUGCACUCAUAACGACGACGUCCAAAAGUACAUUUUUACACUCUUGACCUCGGAUCAGGUAGGGAUACCUGCUGAACUUAAGCAUAUCAAUAAGCGGAGGA
Molecule: unclassified non-coding RNA, 337 nt
Filed under: soil metagenome
Description: partial contains 5.8S ribosomal RNA, internal transcribed spacer 2, and large subunit ribosomal RNA
Rfam family: 5.8S ribosomal RNA (bases 1-120)
Source: RNAcentral